RNAcentral lists this long non-coding RNA (2663 nucleotides) under Homo sapiens (human). RNAcentral's name for it is "uncharacterized LOC105374809, transcript variant 7 (LOC105374809)". Lineage: Eukaryota; Metazoa; Chordata; Mammalia; Primates; Hominidae. The record is from RNAcentral.
AGAAUGAAGAUGGCUUCCUGUCCCGCUAGCGUCACGUCGGGAUCUGCCUUCACCAAGGCCUUCACUCGCGCCAGAGGCAACCUCGAGAGACGAGCCCCAGGCACACUCGUUGGGGCCUGGGGCUGCGAGGCCGCUGCCUCCCCAGCAGGCCAUUAUAACUACAUUCUUAGAAUGUGAUCCCUUUCAACAUUUCCUGCACCUCUGCUUCUGCACACUACCACCAAAAGACAAGAAAGGCAAGGAGACGUGACUGGAGCAAGAAAAACAGUGUUUUUCACACAAGGAUGUCCACUCCUUGUUGGGAAUGGCUUAAGAUCGACCUGGGAAAGCAAAACAUCGCCAUAUCAUUUGGAGGAAAGGCACUGGUUGGAAGAGCCUGUUGGCGUGGCAAAGCCAAGGUCUUUAAAGUCCUCAGAGAAGGCAGGCAUAGCCACCACUGGAGGACUUCCUGAUAUGUGGUACAGAGACUGAUGAGGGCAUGGGGUGACAACCUUAGGUGCCAACAGCAAGGGGAUGGAUAUACAGGGUAAAGGAGGCUUGCUGCCAUCCUACGCCUUUGAACGCCACAAAUCAGAGAUGGUACCAUGGAGGAACAUGAACAGGUAAAUAACAUCUUUGUGUGGCGUGUUGCAGCUGUCACAGCCGCCAGCAGACAGCCGACUCCCUCACCAGUAAACACCGCGGCUUAGGUGUUGCCCACCGGGCACCGGAAGGCGGCCCCCUUCUCGCUCUCCAGUGAAUGUUCCUAAAACAACUGCGGGGUCCAAGAGCACAGGGAGAACAGCGCCCCUGACGCAGGCUGCGCACCCGCCCGGAGGAGGCAGUGCGUCAGUCCUGAGGUCACCGCCACCCGCUCCCGGGGGACGGCCGCCUGGGCAGGUGAGGAGGCGACCACCUCCCAGACGCCUGCCGGAGCUGCGGCGCACCGACUCCCUGCUUCUCCGAGCGGCGAGCGCCACCUGGAGGCUCCCUCGAGAUCUGCAUUUAGGAGGCGACGGGUCCUUUCAUCGUUUUAUUCAUUAAACAUUUAUCGAGGCCUGGAGCGAUGGUUCAAGCCUGUAAUCCCAGCACUUUGGGAGACCGAGACGGGCGGAUCACUUGAGGUCAGGAGUUGGAGACCAGCCUGGCCAACAUGGCGAAACCCCAUCUCUACUAAAAAUACAAAAAUUAGCCGGGCACGGUGGCGCACACCUGUAAUCCCAGCUACUCAUGAUGAGGCUGAGGCACAAGAAUCGCUUGAACCCGAGAGGCGGAAGUUGCAGUGAGCGGAGAUGGAGCCACUGUGUGUUAGGCUCUGGCGACGUGGGGAGAAAUAAAGAUAAUGUCUUGUUUCCCAGGGCAUUAAUAGCGUGAUGGGGAAGACAGGCCAUCAACAAUGUGCAACACUAAGGGCUAGGAAAGAGGUGGAUACAAAGGAGGGAAUAAGGAAUGUGGUCAUUCCUUAAGGUGUUUAUUGGUGCCAGGUACUGUUCAAGGCACCAAAAAGAAUGGAACCAAACAGAGAUCCUGCUCCCAAAGAGCUCAUAGUGGAAGGACAGCCAGACAAGCUUAGAAUUACGGGACAGGCCUAAGAAGGAGCCAGACUGGGGACCAGAGGCGUCCGAAGGGAAGUCCAGGAAGUACCGCAGGAAAACGUGAUAUAUAUUAAAUCUUAAAGAAUGGGCAGGAUUUUGCCAGGCUUAGUGACAAGAUAUCUUCCGUAAAAUCGUGGAACUGAAAAGAAAGGAUAUAGGUUGAAGAAGGGCUAGUUCUGUGUCUGAAAUAGAAGGAACAUGAAAGAGAAGUGCUGGGACAUGGGGCAAAAAAGGGAGUUUGGGGCCAGAUCGUGAAAGCCUUGGUUUAACAGGUGAAAAGUUCAAAUUUGAUCCAGGUAGCUGGCAGAGUCAGAGGUUCUAAAGCAGAGACCUGCUCUAUAGAAAGCUCACCAUGAAGUACAGCAGUGAUGGUGGAUGAAGAUACCAACAGCUCAACCUCCUAUGUGCCAGGGAAAUGCUGAGCGCUUAGCACCUGAUAUUUAUCUUAAUUCUCUAAAUGGGCCUAUGGGGUAAGCAUAUUAUUAUCCCAAUUUUAUUGGAAUACUUCCCUGGUAGGGCCCCUAAACAGGUAGCCAUCAAAUGCCUGAUAAAUUCCAGCUAGCUUUAAAUUCUAGUCGCUACAGAGCAGAGCCCUUCCAUCGCACUGAGCUGAAGGAGCCAGAUGGGCAUUACAGACAAGACCCACUCAGUAGGUGAAAUCAACAGAGCCUAAUGACUAUCUAGAUCUGCAAGAUGAAGAAUAGGAAAGAGCUAAAGACAAGAUUAUGAUGAAAAGUUUGAUUUUGAAAUAAUACAUUUUUAAGAGCUGAGAAAAACCGUAUCCAUCAUCCAGAACAACCGCCUAUUCUACCCACACUCCCAGCACCACAUCAGUACACGUGUGCCUGUACUCACCAUUCUGCCUUGCCUCCUGCUGGCAUGGACGAGUGCUGCGUGUUCCUAAGUGCCACCUUCCGCUGUGCACUCGAUCCCAUCCUCGCGCCCACGCAAGAACAUCGCUUCAUCAAUUGGUCCUUCUCUCACAUAUGAAAUUUUUGGUCUUUCUACUGAGUCAUUCCCAUAAAUAUACAUGUGUACUACAAUUUCUCUCAUCGUAAAAAAUAAUAAAAAUAUUUCCUUGACCUCAAA